RNAcentral lists this ribosomal RNA (492 nucleotides) under uncultured bacterium. Its description in RNAcentral is "partial 16S ribosomal RNA". It matches the Rfam family "Bacterial small subunit ribosomal RNA", at positions 29 to 507 of the family's 1533-position model. The record is from RNAcentral.
AGUGAACGCUGGCGGUAGGCCUAACACAUGCAAGUCGAACGGCAGCACAGUAAGAGCUCGCUCUUACGGGUGGCGAGUGGCGGACGGGUGAGGAAUACAUCGGAAUCUACUUUUUCGUGGGGGAUAACGUAGGGAAACUUACGCUAAUACCGCAUACGACCUACGGGUGAAAGCAGUGGAUCUUUCGACCUUGCGCGAUCGAAUGAGCCGAUGUCGGAUUAGCCAAUUGGCGGAGGAAUGGCCCACCAAGGCGACGAUCCGUAGCUGGUCUGAGAAGAUGAUCAGCCACACUGGACCUGAGACACGGUCCAGACUCCUACGGGAGGCAGCAGUGGGGAAUAUUCGGCAGUGGGCGCAAGCCUGAUCCAGCCAUACCGGGUGGUUGAAGCAGGCCUUCGGGUUGUAAAGCCCUUUUGUUGGGAAAGAAAAGCAGCAGGUUAAUACCCCGCUGUUCUGGCGUUACCCAAAGAAUAAGCACCGGCUAACUUCGUG